CCACGCUGCCCUUCGCUGCCCCCCACGCUGCCCUUCGCUGCCACCCACGCUGCCCUUCGCUGCCACCCACGCUGCCCCGGCGGUCGGCGUCGCCAGCCCGACUUUUUUUUGGGGGGGGGGGCGCAUCGCCGCUUUGCCUUAGGGCGCCUUACCGGCGGCCUCCUCUAGGCUUCCGGCGAGCCGCUCAGGCAAGGGCCCCGGGGUGGGGAGUUGAUGGCGGGUGGCGGGUGGCGCGCGGGCAAAGAGAGAGUCUCGGUUGAGUUGGAGAGGCUGCGAGAAAGUUUUAACCUUCGUGAUUUAGCGCGGGAUGUAAGGAAUGUGAUAAUGUCUCCUGGGGGCGUCGGAGUGGAUUCUCUGCUGGUGCACCGGUCGGGGGAGUUUGGGACGCUGCAGAGUUUCUCGAUUCACUCUGAACCCCGUCGCCAACAUCUCAAGAGCGGGCGGCGGAUUGUUGCUGGCCGGUUCGCAUCCGCGGAGGGAGCUGUCCCUGUCUCCGGACUACACAACGAAGAAGUUGGUCCCCGUCGUGCCCCUCCCUGCUGCGUGGUCUCCGGUUCCUUGGGUGAAGUCACGAGAUGACUUCACCGAAGGAAUGCCGAGAGUUGUCAGUCCAAUGUCCUCCUCCGUGUCGCCUUGACAGACCGCAGGCGCCGCCUGGCUAGGCGCUGAUAGCGGCGGCAGCGCCUGGCCAGGCACUGUGGCACACGACGGAGUGGGCAGCCAGCAACCACGCCCGGCCGCCUUUGUCUCCCCAGUGCGAGUCGACCGAGGGGUAGCCUCAGGACCGGUUCAGCGGUGGCCUUGAGCGGGGAGUCGAACUUGGCUCGCCCGCAGCGCAGCGCUAGCCGCGUCGGCCACUCACGCCUGUGGACAUUCCACGUUACCAUGGACGGGCGCGACGCGGGGCCGCUGUUUGUGACCGGGCAGCGAGGUGGUUGGUGGCGGGGGAGGUCAGCAACCCUGGACCGCCUCUCUCUCUCUCGCUGUGCGGGGAGGCGAAUUACUCGCUCCACCGGCGGUGGUUCAAGUUGUUGCUGCGGAGUUUCGAGAGGAUCGCAGUGUGGCGCUCCACUACGGCCCCGCGGUGUGACCGCACUGCCAAGAGUUGUGUCGUGAACGCCCUCCUCCACCCGCCUCCACCUCGCGCCGGAGCCGUCCUCGUGGCCGCUGCUGUCGGGAGAGCGGUCCGCGCGACGCGCAUUGAACGAUUGGGUUGUCCGACGUUUCGCUGGUUAGUUAAUAACCACGAGCAAGCAUCAUCAGGCAGUGAUGAUGCGUGCUGGUUGACGUCGCCCACACAUCAGCUGUGCCUGGCUGUGUGGGUCGCGAUAGGCCCCCGCCCGUAGGGGUGUAACAUAUGACAGGUGUAACAUAUGACACGUGUAACAUAUGGUCCACAGGGGUGUAACAUAUGACACGUGUAACAUAUGACAGGUGUAACAUAUGACACGUGUAACAUAUGGUCCACAGGGGUGUAACAUAUGACACGUGUAACAUAUGACACGUGUAACAUAUGACACGUGUAACAUAUGGUCCACAGGGGUGUAACAUAUGACACGUGUAACAUAUGACAGGUGUAACAUAUGGUCCACAGGGGUGUAACAUAUGGCAGGUGUAACAUAUGGUCCACAGGGGUGUAACAUAUGACACGUGUAACAUAUGACACGUGUAACAUAUGACACGUGUAACAUAUGACAGGUGUAACAUGGUCCACAGGGGUGUAACAUAUGACACGUGUAACAUAUGGUCCACAGGGGUGUAACAUAUGGACGGUGUAACAUGGAUUGCAGGGGUGUAACAUAUGAACGGUAUAACAUAUGGUCCACAGGGGUGUAACAUAUGACACGUGUAACAUAUGACACGUGUAACAUAUGGUCCACAGGGGUGUAACAUAUGGCAGGUGUAACAUAUGACAGGUGUAACAUAUGACACGUGUAACAUAUGACGUGUAAUAUAUGGACCACAGGGGUGUGACAGGUGUGUAACAUAUGGACCGCAUGGGUAUAACAUAGGAAAGAUGUAACAUGACAGGGGUAUAACAUAUGACAGGAGUAUAACAUAUGACAGGUGUGUAACAUAGAGAUGUAACAUAGGAGAGAUGUAACAUGUGACAGGUGUAUAACAUAGGAGAGAUGUAACAUAUGACAUGUGUAUACCAUAGGAGAGAUGUAACAUAUGACAGGUGUAUAACAUAGGAGAGAUGUAACAUAUGACAGGUGUAACAUAUGACAGGUGUAUAACAUAUGACAGGUGUGUAACAUAGGAGAGAUGUAACAUAUGACAGGUGUGUAACAUAGAGAUGUAACAUAUGACAGGUGUAUAACAUAUGACAGGUGUGUAACAAAGGAGAAAUGUAACAUAUGACAGGUGUGUAACAUAGGAGAGAUGUAACAUAUGACAGUUGUGUAACAUAGGAGAGAUGUAACAUAUGACAGGUGUGUAACAUAGGAGAGAUGUAACAUAAUAGGUGUAUAACAUAGGAGAGAUGUAACAUAUGACAGGUGUGUAACAUAGGAGAGAUGUAACAUAUGACAGGUGUGUAACAUAGGAGAGAUGUAACAUAUGACAGGUGUAUAACAUAUGACAGAUGUGUAACAUAGGAGAGUUGUAACACAUGACAGGUAUAUAAGAUAGGAGAGAUGUAACAUGACAGGUGUGUAACAUAUGACAGGUGUAUAACAUAGGAGAGAUGUAACAUUUGACAGGUGUGUAACAUAGGAGAGAUGUAACAUAUGACAGGUGUGUAACAUAGGACAGAUGUAACAUAUGACAGGUGUAUAACAAAGGAGAGAUAUAACAUGAAAGGUGUGUAACACAUGACAGGGGUAUAACAUAUGACAGGUGUGUAACAUAUGACAGGUGUGUAACAUAGGAGAGAUGUAACAUAUGACAGGUGUAUACCAUAGGAGAGAUGUAACAUAUGACAGGUGUAUAACAUAGGAGAGAUGUAACAUAUGACAGGUGUAUAACAUAUGACAGGUGUGUAACAUAGGAGAGAUGUAACAUAUGACAGGUGUAUAACAUAUGACAGGUGUGUAACAAAGGAGAAAUGUAACAUAUGACAGGUGUAUAACAUAGGAGAGAUGUAACAUGACAGGUGUGUAACAUAGGAGAGAUGUAACAUAUAACAGGUGUAUAACAUAGGAGAGAUGUAACAUAUGACAGGUGUGUAACAUAAGAGAGAUGUAACAUGACAGGUGUGUAACAUAGGAGAGAUGUAACAUAUGACAGGUGUAUAACAUAUGACAGGUGUGUAACAUAGGAGAGAUGUAACACAUGACAGGUAUAUAACAUAGGAGAGAUGUAACAUAUGACAGGUGUGUAACAUAGGAGAGAUGUAACAUGACAGGUGUGUAACAUAGGAGAGAUGUAACAUAUGACAGGUGUAUAACAUAUGACAGGUGUGUAACAUAGGAGAGAUGUAACACAUGACAGGUAUAUAACAUAGGAGAGAUGUAACAUCUGACAGGUGUGUAACAUAUGACAGGUGUAUAACAUAGGAGAGAUGUAACAUUUGACAGGUGUGUAACAUAGGAGAGAUGUAACAUAUGACAGGUGUAUAACAUAGAGAUGUAACAUAUGACAGGUGUAUAACAUAGGAGAGAUGUAACAUAUGACAGGUGUAUAACAUAGAGAUGUAACAUAUGACAGGUGUGUAACAUAGGAGAGAUGUAACAUAUGACAGGUGUAUAACAUAAGAGAGAUGUAACAUAUGACAGGUGUAUAACAUAGGAGAGAUGUAACAUAUGACAGGUGUAUAACAUAGGAGAGAUGUAACAUAUGACAGGUGUAUAACAUAGGAGAGAUGUAACAUAUGACAGGUGUAUAACAUAGGAGAGAUGUAACAUAUGACAGGUGUGUAACAUAGGAGAGAUGUAACAUAUAACAGGUGUAUAACAAAGGAGAGAUGUAACAUAUGACAGGUGUGUAACAUAGGAGAGAUGUAACAUAUGACAGGUGUAUAACAUAGGAUAGAUGUAACAUAUGACAGGUGUGUAACAUAGGAGAGAUGUAACAUAUGACAGGUGUAUAACAUAGGAUAGAUGUAACAUAUGACAGGUGUGUAACAUAGGAGAGAUGUAACAUAUGACAGGUGUAUAACAUAAGAGAGAUGUAACAUGACAGGUGUAUAACAUAUGACAGGUGUAUAACAUAGGAGAGAUGUAACAUAUGACAGGUGUAUAACAGAGAUGUAACAUAUGACAGGUGUAUAACAUAGAGAUGUAACAUAUGACAGGUGUAUAACAUAGGAGAGAUGUAACAUAUGACAGGUGUAUAACAGAGAUGUAACAUAUGACAGGUGUAUAACAUAGAGAUGUAACAUAUGACAGGUGUGUAA
This is a non-coding RNA of Petromyzon marinus (sea lamprey), 4339 nucleotides long. NCBI's taxonomy places the organism in Eukaryota, Metazoa, Chordata, Hyperoartia, Petromyzontiformes, Petromyzontidae. The record is from RefSeq and is a predicted model, not a curated record.